CCUACGGGAGGCUGCAGUGGGGAAUAUUGCACAAUGGGGGAAACCCUGAUGCAGCGACGCCGCGUGAGUGAAGACGUAAUUCGUUAUGUAACGCUCUAUCAGCAGGGAAGAAAAUGACGGUACCUGAGUAAGAAGCCCCGGCUAACUACGUGCCAGCAGCCGCGGUAAUACGUAGGGGGCAAGCGUUAUCCGGAUUUACUGGGUGUAACGGGAGCGUAGACGGCAGUGCAAGUCUGGAGUGAAAGGCGUGGGCUCAACCCCCGGACUGCUCUGGAAACUGUACGGCUGGAGUGCAGGAGAGGUAAGUGGAAUUCCUAGUGUAGCGGUGAAAUGCGUAGAUAUUAGGAGGAACACCAGUGGCGAAGGCGGCUUACUGGACUGUAACUGACGUUGAGGCUCGAAAGCGUGGGGAGCAAACAGGAUUAGAUACCCUGGUAGUC
Molecule: ribosomal RNA, 440 nt
Filed under: uncultured bacterium
Lineage: Bacteria
Description: partial 16S ribosomal RNA
Rfam family: Bacterial small subunit ribosomal RNA
Source: RNAcentral